GGAGAAAUAUGUGCUACUCUGAGCGAUUAAGGAGGCAUACUGAUUUAGUCUUGACCUCUCAAGACUAAGGCUUCUUUAAGACAGAGACACUUCAUCUGCUGCAAAAGGGCUCUCCAUAGAAAUCUCAAGGACACAACUUUUCCCCCCAUCUUGUGGAAGGAUGACAUUUUCUGAUAUUUGCUUCAAACUCUGAGUGAGACCCUAUGCAGGUCCCACAGAUAUCUAAGGUCAAAAUCUGCUGCAUCGGUGCCUGGAGAAUGCUUGGUGGUGACGACUUGAUCAAUAUCUCCAAGACACUGGCUCCUAGCAACAUUUUGAAUUAACUUGGCUUUAAAUGUUCCAGCUCCCUUUGCUCAGGAAAGCUCAUGAAAAAGAAACACUAAAAUUAAGGCUAAUGAUUAUAGAGAAAAAACAUGUAGUACACCUCACAGAUAAUACAUGAGACUAGCUUCAUCUUCCUUCUGUAACACGUUUAUGAUGAACAGAACACAACCUUUUUCUGGAUGGCAUUUUCAGCUGAUGUGUCACAGCAUGAAAGGGUCUAAAGAUUACAUGUACUUCCCAUUCUUAGCUUGUUAUAAGGCAGGAGGAACAGAGGAUGAGGGAUUUUGUGGCUGUGAUUUUUACAUGAAGAGCAGGGAUGGGUGUUAGGUCCCUAGCCUGAUAUUUAAAUCUAAGAUUACCUGGAAACUAAGCAGGAGAAAGAAAAAAGCAGGCUAUAUUAUAAGCACAGCCAAUAUCAAAUAAACUUUGAAAGACUUCUCUGGAAAUGCUGUUAAAAUUCAGCUCAAACCUUUAUUUGUUUAUUUGUUUGAUUUUUCCCUGAGACGGAGGCUACAAGAAGCAGAAAAGCAAAUACCCUAUGUGAUGCUUGUAUUUGAGAACUACAGAGAGAGGUUAACUGAUGAAGUUCAAGUGUCAAGGAGAAUACCCACUUUGAGCCACUUCAGAUCUUGGGAGGUGCCAAUCUUCCUGGGUCCUGAUAUUAAAGUCCUCAGAGUAUGCAGCUAGGUCCAGUUGGCAGGAUAGAGCAUCAAAUGACAUUUGGAAGACUGGUCUAAUCUGAUAAACAAUUAAAUCACAUUCCCCUGAAAUUUGCCUUUCCAAAUAUUGUCUGUACUGAAGUCAAGAUAAGAAGUCAAAUUGUGAAAAUGUAUUGGUUUAAAAAUGAAAUGGCCUCUGAUAUGCAUUGAAGCAAUGCCUCUGUUCAUUGAGUCACCUUUCUAGAAUUCUCUAAGUGUCACCUGCAACCUCUUUUUUUCUCUUUAAACCACCUGCUUUCACAUUCACCCACUCUACUUCCUACCUGUCUUUUCUAUUUAUUGACUCACUAGAAUUAGUCACUCAUUUUGGUGCUAUUUCUGCUCCAGGGUUACCCAAGUUAAUAUGUAUGUAACUGUGGCUUACUUGUAGUUCUUUGAAGUCAGAUAAAUCAGAGGCAAAUGCAGAACCAAAGAAGUGAGGGGACUGAUAAGGAGAC
Molecule: long non-coding RNA, 1480 nt
Filed under: Homo sapiens (human)
Lineage: Eukaryota; Metazoa; Chordata; Mammalia; Primates; Hominidae
Description: HSALNT0165568
Source: RNAcentral